UUUCCGUAGGUGAACCUGCGGAAGGAUCAUUACUGAAUUUUAUGGCGUCUACUUUUAUGUCCUGACUUCCACUUUCUAACUCUGUGCACCUAUUUGGCUGAAGAAGGUACUAGUUAUUGCGUAACUUCGAUUGCGAAUUCCCUAUUUCUGCGGCUUACUUUAAACGCUAGUCAAAGUAUGUAACGAAAUAUCCAAAUACAAAAAAACUAUCAACAACGGAGCUCUUGCCUCUCGGAUCAAUGAAGAACGCAGGAGACCGGAAGAGCACACUUCUGAACC
This 279-nucleotide unclassified non-coding RNA is filed under the name plant metagenome. Its description in RNAcentral is "partial contains small subunit ribosomal RNA, internal transcribed spacer 1, and 5.8S ribosomal RNA". The record is from RNAcentral.